AGCGUAGACGGACUGGCAAGUCUGAUGUGAAAGGCGGGGGCUCAACCCCUGGACUGCAUUAGAAACUGUUAGUCUUGAGUGCCGGAGAGGUAAGCGGAAUUCCUAGUGUAGCGGUGAAAUGCGUAGAUAUUAGGAGGAACACCAGUGGCGAAGGCGGCUUACUGGACGGUAACUGACGUUGAGGCUCGAAAGCGUGGGGAGCAAACA
RNAcentral lists this ribosomal RNA (207 nucleotides) under uncultured bacterium. RNAcentral's name for it is "partial 16S ribosomal RNA". It matches the Rfam family "Bacterial small subunit ribosomal RNA", at positions 568 to 774 of the family's 1533-position model. The record is from RNAcentral.